This 102-nucleotide small RNA is filed under the name Caenorhabditis brenneri. Its description in RNAcentral is "SL2 RNA". It matches the Rfam family "SL2 RNA". Rfam says of the family: This family represents SL2 RNA. SL2 RNA is involved in trans splicing in lower eukaryotes. The record is from Rfam by way of RNAcentral. Lineage: Eukaryota; Metazoa; Nematoda; Chromadorea; Rhabditida; Rhabditidae.
GGGUGAAACAAAAGGUACGCUGGAGUUCCGACCUUUCAAAAGAGAGUGUUGAACAACAAUAAUUUUUGGAAACGCUUUACCGGGGUUAUCCGUUUGUUGGAA